GGGGUGGUAGCUCAGUUGGUUAGAGCGCCUGCCUGUCACGCAGGAGGUCGCGGGUUCAAAUCCCGUCCAUCCCGCCA
RNAcentral lists this transfer RNA (77 nucleotides) under Candidatus Peregrinibacteria bacterium CG_4_10_14_0_2_um_filter_41_8. Its description in RNAcentral is "tRNA-Asp". It matches the Rfam family "tRNA". Rfam says of the family: Transfer RNA (tRNA) molecules are approximately 80 nucleotides in length. Their secondary structure includes four short double-helical elements and three loops (D, anti-codon, and T loops). Further hydrogen bonds mediate the characteristic L-shaped molecular structure. tRNAs have two regions of fundamental functional importance: the anti-codon, which is responsible for specific mRNA codon recognition, and the 3' end, to which the tRNAs corresponding amino acid is attached (by aminoacyl-tRNA synthetases). tRNAs cope with the degeneracy of the genetic code in two manners: having more than one tRNA (with a specific anti-codon) for a particular amino acid; and 'wobble' base-pairing, i.e. permitting non-standard base-pairing at the 3rd anti-codon position. RNAcentral also lists the same sequence under 2 other names. The record is from RNAcentral. Lineage: Bacteria; Candidatus Peregrinibacteriota.